GAGAAGGAUCCUGCAGCCCGAGUCCCGAGGAUAAAGCUUGGGGUUCAUCCUCCUUCCCUGGAUCACUCCACAGUCCUCAGGCUUCCCCAAUCCAGGGGACUCGGCGCCGGGACGCUGCUAUGGACGACAUUUUCACUCAGUGCCGGGAGGGCAACGCCGUCGCCGUUCGCCUGUGGCUGGACAACACGGAGAACGACCUCAACCAGGGGUGAGCCGAAACGGUUGGUGGAUGAGAGGAAGGCUAGAGAUCUGGCUACGUGGAGUGGAGUGCUCAUGUCUGGUGGUGGCGGCUGCCUUUGCUAGCCAGUGUAAUGAGUGCUAAGCAUAGCCUGUGGCGGGCAGAGGGUUUUCACAGAGGACGCAGUUUGAGCUGAAUCUUGACUGCAGAAUAAGAGUUUCACAGGCAGAGGCUACAGAGAGCUUUCCAGCCUCAGUAGACUGCAUGGCCAAAGGCUAGGGGGCAAGGCACAGAGCAGAGAGAACAGGAAAUUGUCUGGAGUUCCAUAUGGCUGGAGGAUAGAUGAUCUCUGUGGGUCGGAGCAUUGGGUACAAGAGGAAAAGAACAGGACAU
RNAcentral lists this small RNA (571 nucleotides) under Pan troglodytes (chimpanzee). Its description in RNAcentral is "processed transcript". Lineage: Eukaryota; Metazoa; Chordata; Mammalia; Primates; Hominidae. The record is from RNAcentral.